This 253-nucleotide ribosomal RNA is filed under the name uncultured bacterium. RNAcentral's name for it is "partial 16S ribosomal RNA". It matches the Rfam family "Bacterial small subunit ribosomal RNA", at positions 524 to 776 of the family's 1533-position model. The record is from RNAcentral.
UACAGAGGGUGCGAGCGUUAAUCGGAAUUACUAGGCGUAAAGCGUGCGUAGACGGUUCUGUAAGUCGGAUGUGAAAUCCCCGGGCUCAACCUGGGAACUGCAUUUGUGACUGCAUGGCUAGAGUACGGUAGAGGGGGAUGGAAUUCCGCGUGUAGCAGUGAAAUGCGCAGAUAUCAGGAGGAACACCAAUGGCGAAGGCAGCUCGCUGGGACGGUACUGACGCUGAGACGCGAAAGCGUGGGGAGCGAACUGG